UCCGACCUACGGGACGCAGCAGUGAGGAAUAUUGGUCAAUGGGCGCGAGCCUGAACCAGCCAAGUAGCGUGAAGGAUGACUGCCCUACGGGUUGUAAACUUCUUUUAUAUGGGAAUAAAAUGUUCCACGUGUGGGAUUUUGUAUGUACCAUAUGAAUAAGGAUCGGCUAACUCCGUGCCAGCAGCCGCGGUAAUACGGAGGAUCCGAGCGUUAUCCGGAUUUAUUGGGUUUAAAGGGAGCGUAGGUGGAUUGUUAAGUCAGUUGUGAAAGUUUGCGGCUCAACCGUAAAAUUGCAGUUGAAACUG
RNAcentral lists this ribosomal RNA (305 nucleotides) under uncultured bacterium. RNAcentral describes it as "bacterial SSU rRNA". It matches the Rfam family "Bacterial small subunit ribosomal RNA", at positions 333 to 635 of the family's 1533-position model. The record is from RNAcentral.